GGUUUCUUUUAACCCAACCGCUAGAAAUUGCAGCUGCACUUUUUGUGCCAAGAGAGCGCACGCAUGCGCGCGUCGUCCGAUCGAGGCGCGCGCUGCAUCCAACCGCCCCAGAUCAUCCCGAUCAGGUGUUGGGCAGUCGGAGCCAGAGGCGAUGAAGACAGUGGCAUGCCGUGCACGUGCAGGUCUCGCACUGGCCGAUGACCUCGGUUUGCACUAAAUUGUUCGGGAGAUAAAUGUAAGGAUUUUCACUAGAGCAGAUUUCAUCUUUUAAGGAAGGUCGGCAAACGUGGACGCCUAUAUAUCAGGCACUCCAUCCAGGUAUACUAGGCGUUCUAGUUUUUCGCGGGUACUAAGAAACUGAGUACACCAGCCUUCUUGCAUGCAUUUUAUACUUAAGGGCACAUCCAAUUACUUUGCAGCUAGUCUUGCAUGCAGCUCUUGGACCAAUCAUAACUGUUGCAGGUGGAAUAGGAAAACAUUUAAUAGAUGAAGAAGAGUGGUCAUAGCCUAUGCGCCUCAUAUUAGUGGGCUUCAGGUUUUGAACAAGACGCCCCUAAAAGCUGGACAGAGGGAGUAGCUAAAAGCUCUGUAAAUUUAUUAGGUAGACAUGUUUGGUUUUUAAAGCACUGAAUAAAUAAAGUCAGUGCUCCCUUAAAAAGAAAAUGUUUUAUAUUUUUUGUUCCACUUUCAGCCUUUCUCUUGAUACACCCGCAGACUGACCAAAGGAUCUCACGGCUCCGACACCGAAAUUAAUCCUAACAUACUUGGUUUCUCUUCUAGGCUGAAAGACCACGUACAUUUUGUGACACGUGAGAAAUCCGCUGCAUUAUAAUCGUGAUUAUUAUUUUUCUUGUCUCACCCCUGAUGCUUUGAGAUUAGUUUUAAGAGAGAAUUCCAUAUUUUGCCACUCAAAUUUCGCCCAUAUGUCCAAAUGCCACUCAGAAUUUAUUUGUUGCAAAUUUGCCACUCAAAUUUUGCAUGGAGUACUAAUAUGCCACCACCAUUAGUUGACCGCUAAUUGACCGUUAAAUAAGAGAUGGAAAAUACAAUUUUGCCCCUAACUAGUAUGUUGAUUUUUCCUUUACAACAAAGUACUCAUUUAAAGAACUUAUAAUUCCAAAAUUUUAAGAAUUCAGUAACACAGGUUAUUCGAGGAACAACGUGAGCAUGUUCUUCGAGAAGCCACUCACCAGCGCCACCCCUUUCUGUUGCGAAUCACGCAGGUUCCAGAAUACAAUCUCUAGAAUGGCGUUGCAGUAACCGGCCUCUGAAAAACUUCUUGGUGACGGCCUCGUAGUCCGUCUCCAAUGGCCUCGACGACGCCUGGUCAAACUCCAUGUCGCUGAACACAAACACCUUCUUCACCAUGCGCUCCGGACCCUUAAUUAUCAGGGGUAGAUUUGGGGUGUGGUUUGGUUCAAAUUUAUAUUCAACCAGAUACAGAAAAUGUCAAUCAAGCAAUUCAAGAACUUAGUUUCUAACCUUUUAUGUUCCAGGCUACGUUUUGUGUGAGCUGUCUUAGAUUGAGAACUUUUUUCUUGCAGUGGAUAGUGGAGAUUGCAAUGUUUUUAGUUGGGUUAAUUUAAUAAAAAGAUUCGCACAAACUACGGUCUACAAGCAGCAUGACAGAGAUGCUUCACCUUCUCCACUUCACCUAAAGUUGGGAUUUAUUUACUCAAUGAUCAAUGAUGCCACCCAUUAGUCAUUUUCCCCGAACCGUUACCAUCGAACGUAGCACCCCGACUCCUCCUCUCUUCCUCCUGUUCACGUUCCUUCUCACCAUGGCAGCACAUCUCCCACGAAUCUCCCCCACAGCGGCUGGGGGUCCUUCUCCAGCGAGCCCCCUGUCCUCCUCCGGCUAGCCCUCUCUACAUCUCCGUCCAGCCGCCGCCGCUUUCCUGGGAUUCACCGCCGCCACCGCCCGGAUUCGCCGCCGGUGCCGUUUAUCCAGGACGCCAAGACCACGAUUUGUCACUGCUACCACCGGAAUUUGUCUCUGCCACCAUCGGGCUUUGCCACCGCCGCUCCUCCGGACUGCACCGCCACUGGAUUCGCCGCAGUUUGCUAUUUCGGAUUAGUUUUCUUGGAGAAAAUUUCAGUUCAUUAGUGAUGAACUGAUGACCCGUAGCAAAUUGCAUCAGUUUUGUUUGAAGGUCAGACGUACGGGUCUGCCAUACAGGAGUACCAAAUUUGUAUGCUUUCGAUUAUGUGGUUUGAGCGCAGUGUAAUUUGAUGGGUCAAAACCUGGCUCUGAAGCCAAUCUACUGGCCAAAGAGCAGGCAGGUGAAGUGAAGUUUGGAGGUGAAGUGGAUAUAAGGUAUAGUUUCAGUUGUUCCACAAGUCCGAACAAUAUAAGAAUACAAUGAAGAGAGCAGAACACGCACGCGUCCCAUGUCUCUCCUAGGGGCGUCAACGGGGCGAAAUCCUAGCCGCCGCCACUAGGACCUCCUGCAUGCUCCUCUCCAUCGCCGCCGCUGCCGCCGGCCUCCUCUGCCGCGGUGGCGGCAGGCCCCACACCACAAAGGGUUCGUGCGGGUUUGCUGUGGUGGCGGCGUUCUCGGGCGGCGGGGCAAGCGAAGGCCGGGGCAGCGGCCCCGGGAGUCUUGGCGGCAGCGUCCCCGGGCGUUGUGCGCUCCGGUAGGCGGAGGCGGCUGCAAGCUCAGGCAUCGGCGGGUGCGGGUGGCCGGGCGCGGCGGCGGUUCGGCUGGAUCUGGCCAGGUGUGGCUCGUGGCGAGAUGUGUGUCGCGGGCGGGGCUCAACGCGGCUGCUGGCGCGAGGGCGUCCAGCGCUGCUGUGUGCGGCGUGGUGCGGGGGUUUGUCGGCGGCGGCGGCCUUGCUGCUUUAGGUGCAGUUGGCGCUUCUCCCUACCCCAGUGCGAGGCUUCGGCACGUAGGCUCUGGCCGACGUGGCUGCGGCAGCGGAUGCCGGGACGGCGGUCUCGGGAUUUGGCCGGGUCUGUCUAGGCAGUGGAUCUGGCGCCUUGGGCGCGGAUUUUGCUUGGGCAUGCGUUGGCAGGCGAUGGAAGUCGAGGUGGCGACCUCGGAAAGGAGUGAAGGCGGUUUGUUGCGCUGGGCGUAGUCGGUAUCUGGAUGACAGGGCGGCGGCCCUGGGCAGCGUUGGUCCGCAGACUGUUAGAGGCAACGACGAAGGCUGGGCUCUUGAGGCGCCUCACUUCCACCUUUGCAGGGGCGGCCCAAACCCGCUCCUCCCAUAGCGGAUUUGGUUUCUCUCCCCUUCAACGGGGCGAUGGUGUGUGCGGUGUGGUACUCUGUCAAUGUUUCUUCCGUGCUCCUUCGGAGCCUGUUGAGGUACUUCAACCCCUCUCUGGUAGGUCGCGCCGGAUCUGGCUUGUGUGAUGUGAUUCCGAUGCGACGGGGAUGCUUUUUCAGUUGCUUCCGUUGUUGUGUUGGUGUGUAGGUGGUGGUUUGUUUUGUUGGUUCAGACCUUGUGUCAGCCGGUUGGGGUUUCGUCCCCUUUGUAUCUGGUUUUCGCCUGGUUUUCUCUAAUUAACCGGACAACUCUAUUUCUUCUAUAA
Molecule: long non-coding RNA, 3535 nt
Organism: Brachypodium distachyon (stiff brome)
Lineage: Eukaryota; Viridiplantae; Streptophyta; Magnoliopsida; Poales; Poaceae
Exons: 2
Source: RefSeq, a predicted model, not a curated record